Molecule: ribosomal RNA, 253 nt
Filed under: uncultured bacterium
Lineage: Bacteria
Description: partial 16S ribosomal RNA
Rfam family: Bacterial small subunit ribosomal RNA
Source: RNAcentral
UACGAAGGGGGCUAGCGUUGUUCGGAAUUACUGGGCGUAAAGGGCGCGUAGGCGGUCCUUCAAGUCAGGCGUGAAAGCCCCAGGCUUAACCUGGGAACUGCAUUCGAGACUGCAUUGCUAGAGUAUGGGAGAGGGAAGUGGAAUUUCCGGUGUAGCGGUGAAAUGCGUAGAUAUCGGAAGGAACAUCAGUGGCGAAAGCGACUUCCUGGACCAAUACUGACGCUCAUGUGCGAAAGCGUGGGGAGCAAACAGG